CCUACGGGCGGCAGCAGUGAGGAAUAUUGGUCAAUGGCCGAGAGGCUGAACCAGCCAAGUCGCGUGAGGGAAGACGGCCCUACGGGUUGUCAACCUCUUUUGUCGGGGAGCAAAGCGAGUCACGUGUGACUCUUUGAGAGUACCCGAAGAAACAGCAUCGGCUAACUCCGUGCCAGCAGCCGCGGUAAUACGGAGGAUGCGAGCGUUAUCCGGAUUUAUUGGGUUUAAAGGGUGCGCAGGCGGAGGUGCAAGUCAGCGGUAAAAGUGCGGGGCUCAACCCCGUACUGCCGUUGAAACUGCAUCCCUUGAGUGCGCGAGAAGUAUGCGGAAUGCGUGGUGUAGCGGUGAAAUGCAUAGAUAUCACGCAGAACUCCGAUUGCGAAGGCAGCAUACCGGCGCGCAACUGACGCUCAUGCACGAAAGCGUGGGUAUCGAACAGGAUUAGAUACCCCAGUAGUC
Molecule: ribosomal RNA, 459 nt
Filed under: uncultured bacterium
Lineage: Bacteria
Description: partial 16S ribosomal RNA
Rfam family: Bacterial small subunit ribosomal RNA
Source: RNAcentral